Molecule: ribosomal RNA, 427 nt
Filed under: uncultured bacterium
Lineage: Bacteria
Description: bacterial SSU rRNA
Rfam family: Bacterial small subunit ribosomal RNA
Source: RNAcentral
UGGGGAAUUUUGGACAAUGGACGCAAGUCUGAUCCAGCCAUGCCGCGUGCGGGAAGAAGGCCUUCGGGUUGUAAACCGCUUUUGUCAGGGAAGAAACGAGUUUCUCUAAUACAGAGACUUAAUGACGGUACCGGAAUAAGAAGCACCGGCUAACUACGUGCCAGCAGCCGCGGUAAUACGUAGGGUGCGAGCGUUAAUCGGAAUUACUGGGCGUAAAGCGUGCGCAGGCGGUUUUGUAAGACAGGCGUGAAAUCCCCGGGCUCAACCUGGGAACUGCGUUUGUGACUGCAAGGCUAGAGUAUGGCAGAGGGGGGUGGAAUUCCGCGUGUAGCAGUGAAAUGCGUAGAUAUGCGGAGGAACACCGAUGGCGAAGGCAAUCCCCUGGACCUGUACUGACGCUCAUGCACGAAAGCGUGGGGAGCAAACA